AGCCCGGUGGUGCAGUGGGAGCACAUUCCAUCAUUACGCGCUUCUGAUAAUAACCUCAGAUGAGAGGUCGAGGUUGGAAAGACGUGGGUUCAAAUCCCACCCAGGCUA
This 108-nucleotide transfer RNA is filed under the name Daldinia vernicosa. RNAcentral's name for it is "tRNA-Asn". It matches the Rfam family "tRNA". From Rfam's summary of the family: Transfer RNA (tRNA) molecules are approximately 80 nucleotides in length. Lineage: Eukaryota; Fungi; Ascomycota; Sordariomycetes; Xylariales; Hypoxylaceae. The record is from RNAcentral.